This 434-nucleotide ribosomal RNA is filed under the name uncultured Pseudobutyrivibrio sp. Its description in RNAcentral is "partial 16S ribosomal RNA". It matches the Rfam family "Bacterial small subunit ribosomal RNA", at positions 341 to 792 of the family's 1533-position model. The record is from RNAcentral. Lineage: Bacteria; Bacillati; Bacillota; Clostridia; Lachnospirales; Lachnospiraceae.
ACGGGAGGCAGCAGUGGGGAAUAUUGCACAAUGGGCGCAAGCCUGGUGCAGCGACGCCGCGUGAGCGAAGAAGUAUUUCGGUAUGUAAAGCUCUAUCAGCAGGGAAGAUAAUGACGGUACCUGACUAAGAAGCACCGGCUAAAUACGUGCCAGCAGCCGCGGUAAUACGUAUGGUGCAAGCGUUAUCCGGAUUUACUGGGUGUAAAGGGAGCGUAGGCGGUCAUGCAAGUCUGAUGUGAAAACCCGGGGCUCAACUUCGGGAUUGCAUUGGAAACUGUAAGACUAGAGUGUCGGAGGGGUAAGUGGAAUUCCUAGUGUAGCGGUGAAAUGCGUAGAUAUUAGGAGGAACACCAGUGGCGAAGGCGGCUUACUGGACGAUUACUGACGCUGAGGCUCGAAAGCGUGGGGAGCAAACAGGAUUAGAUACCCUGGUA